UCCCCUUCCUGUGUCCAUGUGAUCUCAUUGUUCAAUUCCCACCUAUGAGUGAGAAUAUGCGGUGUUCGGUUUCUUGUUCUUGCGAUAGUUUACUGAGAAUGAUGAUUUCCAGUUUCAUCCAUGUCCCUACAAAGGACAUGAACUCAUCAUUUUUAUGGCUGCAUAGUAUUCCAUGGUGUAUAUGUGCCACAUUUUCUUAAUCCAGUCUAUCGUUGUUGGACAUUUGGGUUGGUUCCAAGUCUUUGCUAUUGUGAAUAAUGCUGCAAUAAACAUACGUGUGCAUGUGUCUUUAUGGCAGCAUGAUUUAUAGUCCUUUGGGUAUAUACCCAGUAACGGGAUGGCUGGGUCAAAUGGUAUUUCUACUUCUAGAUCCCUGAGGAAUUGCCACACUGACUUCCACAAUGGUUGAACCAGUUUACAGUCCUACCAACAGUGUAAAAGUGUUCCUAUUUCUCCACAUCCUCUCCAGCACCUAUUGUUUCCUGACUUUUUAAUGAUUGCCAUUCUAACUGGUGUGAGAUGGUAUCUCAUUGUGGUUUUGAUUUGCAUUUCUCUGAUGGCCAGUGAUGAUGAGCAUUUUUUCAUGUGUUUUUUGGCUGCAUAAAUGUCUUCUUUUGAGAAGUGUCUGUUCAUGUCCUUUGCCCACUUUUUGAUGGGGUUGUUUGUUUUUUUCUUGUAAAUUUGUUUGAGUUCAUUGUAGACUCUGGAUAUUAGCCCUUUGUCAGAUGAGUAGGUUGCGAAAAUUUUCUCCCAUUUUGUAGGUUGCCUGUUCACUCUGAUGAUAGUUUCCUUUGCUGUGCAGAAGCUCUUUAGUUUAAUUAGAUCCCGUUUGUCAAUUUUGUCUUUUGUUGCCAUUGCUUUUGGUGUUUUAGACAUGAAGUCCUUGCCCAUGCCUAUGUCCUGAAUGGUAAUGCCUAGGUUUUCUUCUAGGGUUUUUAUGGUUUUAGGUCUAAUGUUUAAGUCUUUAAUCCAUCUUGAAUUGAUUUUUGUAUAAGGUGUAAGGAAGGGAUCCAGUUUCAGCUUUCUACAUAUGGCUAGCCAGUUUUCCCAGCACCAUUUAUUAAAUAGGGAAUUCUUUCCCCAUUUCUUGUUUUUCUCAGGUUUGUCAAAGAUCAGAUAGUUGUAGAUAUGCGGUGUUAUUUCUGAGGGCUCUGUUCUGUUCCAUUGAUCUAUAUCUCUGUUUUGGUACCAGUACCAUGCUGUUUUGGUUACUGUAGCCUUGUAGUAUAGUUUGAAGUCAGGUAGUGUGAUGCCUCCAGCUUUGUUCUUUUGGCUUAGGAUUACCUUGGCGAUGCGGGCUCUUUUUUGCUUCCAUAUGAACUUUAAAGUAGUUUUUUCCAAUUCUGUGCAGGAAGUCAUUGGUAGCUUGAUGGGGAUGGCAUUGAAUCUGUAAAUUACCUUGGGCAGUAUGGCCAUUUUCACGAUAUUGAUUCUUCCUACCCAUGAGCAUGGAAUGUUCUUCCAUUUGUUUGUAUCCUCUUUUAUUUCAUUGAGCAGUGGUUUGUAGUUCUCCUUGAAGAGGUCCUUCACAUCCCUUGUAAGUUGGAUUCCUAGGUAUUUUGCUCUCUUUGAAACAAUUGUGAAUGGGAGUUCACUCAUGAUUUCGCUCUCUGUUUGUCUGUUGUUGGUGUAUAAGAAUGCUUGUGAUUUUUGUACAUUGAUUUUGUAUCCUGAGACUUUGCUGAAGUUGCUUAUCAGCUUAAGGAGAUUUGGGGCUGAGAUGAUGGGGUUUUCUAGAUAUACAAUCAUGUCGUCUGCAAACAGGGACAAUUUGACUUCCUCUUUUCCUAAUUGAAUACCCUUUAUUUCCUUCUCCUGCCUAAUUAACCUGGCCAGAACUUCCAACACUAUGUUGAAUAGGAGUGGUGAGAGAGGGCAUCCCUGUCUUGUGCCAGUUUUCAAAGGGAAUGCUUCCAGUUUUUGCCCAUUUAGUAUGAUAUUGGCUGUGGGUUUGUCAUAGACAGCUCUUAUUAUUUUGAAAUACGUCCCAUCAAUACCUAAUUUAUUGAGUUUUUAGCAUGAAGGUUGUUGAAUUUUGUCAAAGGCCUUUUCUGCAUCUAUUGAGGUAAUCAUGUGGUUUUUGUCUUUGGCUCUGUUUAUAUGCUGAAUUACAUUUAUUGAUUUGCGUAUAUUGAACCAGCCUUGCAUCCCAGGGAUGAAGCCCACUUGAUCAUGGUGGAUAAACUUUUUGAUGUGCUGCUGGAUUCGGUUUGCCAGUAUUUUAUUGAGGAUUUUUGCAUCAAUGUUCAUCAAGAAUAAUGGUCUGAAAUUCUCUUUUUUGGUUGUGUCUCUGCCCAGCUUUGGUAUCAGAAUGAUGCUGGCCUCAUAAAAUGACUUAGGGAGGAUUCCCUCUUUUUCUAUUGAUUGGAAUAGUUUCAGAAGGAAUGGUACCAGUUCCUCCUUGUACCUCUGGUAGAAUUCGGCUGUGAAUCCAUCUGGUCCUGGACUCUUUUUGGUUGGUAAACUAUUGAUUAUUGCCACAAGUUUAGCUCCUGUUAUUGGUCUAUUCAGAGAUUCAACUUCUUCCUGGUUUAGUCUUGGGAGAGUGUAGGUGUCGAGGAAUUUAUCCAUUUCUUCUAGAUUUUCUAGUUUAUUUGUGUAGAGGUGUUUGUAGUAUUCUCUGAUGGUAGUUUGUAUUUCUGUGGGAUCGGUGGUGAUAUCCCCUUUAACAUUUUUUAUUGUGUCUAUUUGAUUCUUCUCUCUUUUUUUCUUUAUUAGUCUUGCUAGCGGUCUAUCAAUUUUGUUGAUCCUUUCAAAAAACCAGCUCCUGGAUUCAUUAAUUUUUUGAGGGGUUUUUUGUGUCUCUAUUUCCUUCAGUUCUGCUCUGAUUUUAGUUAUUUCUUGCCUUCUGCUAGCUUUUGGAUGUGUUUGCUCUUGCUUUUCUAGUUCUUUUAAUUGUGAUGUUAGGGUGUCAAUUUUAGAUCUUUCCUGCUUUCUCUUGUGGGCAUUUAGUGCUAUCAAUUUCCCUCUAACACACUGCUUUGAAUGUGUCCCAGAGAUUCUGGUAUGUUGUGUCUUUGUUCUCAGUGGUUUCAAAGAACAUCUUUAUUUCUGCCUUGAUUUCGUUAUGUAUCCAGUAGUCAUUCAGGAGCAGGUUGUUCAGUUUCCAUGUAGUUGAGCAGUUUUGAGUGAGAUUCUUAAUUCUGAGUUCUAGUUUGAUUGGACUGUGGUCUGAGAGAUAGUUUGUUAUAAUCUCUAUUCUUUUACAUUUGCUGAGGAGAGCUUUACUUCCAACUAUGUGGUCAAUUUUGGAAUAGGUGUGGUGCUGAAAAAAAUGUAUAUUCUGUUGAUUUGGGGUGGAGAGUUCUGUAGAUGUCUAUUAGGUCUGCUUGGUGCAGAGCUGAGUUCAAUUCCUGGGUAUCCUUGUUGACUUUCUGUCUCGUUGAUCUGUCUAAUGUUGACAGUGGGGUGUUAAAGUCUCCCAUUAUUAAUGUGUGGGAGUCUAAGUCUCUUUGUAGGUCACUCAGGACCUGCUUUAUGAAUCUGGGUGCUCCUGUAUUGGGUGCAUAUAUAUUUAGGAUAGUUAGCCCUUCUUGUUGAAUUGAUCCCUUUACCAUUAUGUAAUGACCUUCUUUGUCUCUUUUGAUCUUUGUUGGUUUAAAGUCUGUUUUAUCAGAGACUAGGAUUGCAACCCGUGCCUUUUUUUGUUUUCCAUUUGCUUGGUAGAUCUUCCUCCAUCCUUUUAUUUUGAGCCUAUGUGUGUCUCUGCACAUGAGAUGGGUUUCCUGAAUACAGCACACUGAUGGGUCUUGACUCUUUAUCCAAUUUGCCAGUCUGUGUCUUUUAAUUGGAGCAUUUAGUCCAUUUACAUUUAAAGUUAGUAUUGUUAUGUGUGAAUUUGAUCCUGUGAUUAUGAUGUUAGCUGGUGAUUUUGCUCGUUAGUUGAUGCAGUUUCUUCCUAGUCUCGAUGGUCUUUACAUUUUGGCAUGAUUUUGCAGUGGCUUGUACCGGUUGUUCCUUUCCAUGUUUAGCGCUUCCUUCAGCUCUUUUAGGGCAGGCCUGGUGGUGACAAAAUCUCUCAGCAUUUGCUUGUCUCUAAAGUAUUUUAUUUCUCCUUCACUUAUGAAGCUUAGUUUGGCUGGAUAUGAAAUUCUGGGUUGAAAAUUCUUUUAAGAAUGUUGAAUAUUGGCCCCCACUCUCUUCUGGCUUGUAGGGUUUCUGCCAAGAGAUCCGCUGUUAGUCUGAUGGGC
RNAcentral lists this long non-coding RNA (4190 nucleotides) under Homo sapiens (human). Its description in RNAcentral is "HSALNT0136338". Lineage: Eukaryota; Metazoa; Chordata; Mammalia; Primates; Hominidae. The record is from RNAcentral.